CGGGGCGUAGCGCAGUUGGCUAGCGCGCAAGGCUGGGGGUCUUGAGGUCGCAGGUUCAAGUCCUGUCGCCCCGA
Non-coding RNA from Candidatus Peregrinibacteria bacterium CG2_30_44_17, 74 nucleotides. The record is from Rfam. NCBI's taxonomy places the organism in Bacteria, Candidatus Peregrinibacteriota.